RNAcentral lists this ribosomal RNA (463 nucleotides) under uncultured bacterium. RNAcentral's name for it is "partial 16S ribosomal RNA". It matches the Rfam family "Bacterial small subunit ribosomal RNA", at positions 28 to 507 of the family's 1533-position model. The record is from RNAcentral.
GACGAACGCUGGCGGCGUGCUUAACACAUGCAAGUCGAACGGAAAGGCCUUUUCGGAGGUACUCGAGUGGCGAACGGGUGAGUAACACGUGGGUGAUCUGCCCUGCACUCUGGGAUAAGCCUGGGAAACUGGGUCUAAUACCGGAUAGGACCGCACUUUAGUGUGUGUGGUGGAAAGUUUUUUCGGUGUGGGAUGAGCCCGCGGCCUAUCAGCUUGUUGGUGGGGUAAUGGCCUACCAAGGCGGCGACGGGUAGCCGGACUGAGAGGUUGGUCGGCCACAUUGGGACUGAGAUACGGCCCAGACGCCUACGGGAGGCAGCAGUGGGGAAUAUUGCACAAUGGGCGCAAGCCUGAUGCAGCGACGCCGCGUGGGGGAUGACGGCCUUCGGGUUGUAAACUCCUUUCGCCAGGGACGAAGCGUUUUGUGACGGUACCUGGAGAAGAAGCACCGGCUAACUACGUG